RNAcentral lists this ribosomal RNA (343 nucleotides) under uncultured bacterium. Its description in RNAcentral is "bacterial SSU rRNA". It matches the Rfam family "Bacterial small subunit ribosomal RNA", at positions 506 to 849 of the family's 1533-position model. The record is from RNAcentral.
ACUCAGCAGCCGCGGUAAUACGUAGGGAGCAAGCGUUGUCCGGAAUUAUUGGGCGUAAAGGGUGCGUAGGCGGUCUAGUAAGUCAAAUGUGAAAUUCAUCGGCUCAACCGAUGACCUGCCUUUGAAACUACUAGACUUGAGGGUAAGAGAAGAGAUCGGAAUUCCUAGUGUAGCGGUGAAAUGCGUAGAUAUUAGGAAGAAUACCAGUGGCGAAAGCGGAUCUCUGGCUUACACCUGACGCUGAGGCACGAAAGCUGGGGGAGCAAACCGGAUUAGAUACCCGGGUAGUCCCAGCCGUAAACGUUGGACACUAGGUGUUGGAGGUUCGACUCUUCGGUGCCGC